ACUCUUUACCAGCUGAGCUACCAGGGACACCCAUGUCCCAUUAUAUUUAGUGGUAAAUCUUAAAAGAAAUGCUAUGUAAGACUCCCUAUAUUUCAUUUCUUUGUCAAUUUCUAACUGAAGCUUGGUGUUGAUCAAAGAAAAUAAGUGUAAUGAUCAUGAUGUCACUGUAUGUUUUCCUUAAUUUAUCUCCAUAGGAAACUAUUCUUGGCUGAAUAACAUGGUGGUGACGAUGGAAACUAUACUUUAAGUAGCCACACCCAGGAGCAUUCCAUAUCCCUUACACAACCAUGUUCUUUGAUCACAAUAAAGAAAAUAAUUUGAAAUGAAAAUAUGUUUCCCCCAAAGAUGAAAUCAAGGCAACAGAAAAGAAGUUCAAGAAAUAAAGAUAUAUAUUCGUGUCUGACUCAUCGAGCUCUCCAAAGCUAUCAAAAGAAAAUUAGAGUGCAUGGUUUACCAAAACAAAAUCUUCUUUAGAUAUUGUUUGCAGCUAUUUGAAUAACUAGUGAACUGCAAGCUUUUGGUAUGAAAUCCUUCUUUUUAAAUAGAGAUAUUAUUGACAUGUAAUUUCUUUUUCAGCCUGCUGCUGCUGCUGCUAAGCCACUUCAGUCGUGUCCAACUCUGUGUGACCCCAUAGACGGCAGUCCACCAGGCUCCCCUGUCCCUGGGAUUCUCCAGGCAAGAACACUGGAGUGGGUUGCCAUUUCCUUCUCCAAUAUAUGAAAGUGAAAAGUGAAAGCGAAGUCGCUCAGUCGUGUCCAACUCUUUGCGACUCUAUUAAUGGAUCCCAGAUCACAGACAAAGCCAUUGAAGCUUUAGUUAAAAAGCAUGGAAACAGAGUCUCCACAAAAUAGAAGUAUUUGGCUGCCUUGCUCUUACUGCCAGGAGUGUGGGCUCCCUGGCCUCGAAGUGUUCACACCUUCAGAUCCUGAAUAUUGGGAGAGUCCCCAAGGUCUCUAAGGCCUGCCUGGUCAGGAGCCUGGAGAACUUACAAGAGGUGACUGCCCUUAAUGUUGCUGGCCUCAAAAUGAUGAGACUUCUUGGACUCAGACUGACAUUUUCAUUGGUUUCCACCUGCCUAAGUUUUCAGAACAUAAAACUAAAUAAUGCUUCCA
This is a long non-coding RNA of Bubalus bubalis (water buffalo), 1112 nucleotides long. RefSeq lists it as uncharacterized. The transcript has 2 exons. The record is from RefSeq and is a predicted model, not a curated record. NCBI's taxonomy places the organism in Eukaryota, Metazoa, Chordata, Mammalia, Artiodactyla, Bovidae.